AGAGACUCCAGUUGUACUCUGAGAUGACAGGACCUGCAGACCUGAGUAUGAUCUGCAGCCUUAGGUGAAGUGUUCUGGUGCUGGCUCUAUUUAUAGAGAGUAAUAUCCCCAAGUCAUAAAACAUCUCCCUGUAUAAUUAAUAUGGCACAUUUGUCUACCUCAGCAUCUCUUGAGCUCAGUCUAUGGGAUGGUUCAUAGAAGGAGAAGACCACACUAUUUGGAUGGUAGGUGUUCAACAAUUUCAUUGCAACUUGUCUUUUGUUCUUAUUGAUAUGUGCAUAUAAACUUCUAUCUACUUGAAUUUAUGUUUAAAAGCAUUUAUUGAUAGAUAAUUUGGGAAUCUCAUAUUUAUAUGUCAUAGUAGACUGAAAAAGAAUACACUAAGCCUAUGUGAUUCUUUAUACUUUAGUUCUUGCUAGCUUGCAAGUGGGGGGGAAUCUUAUCAUAUUUUAGUAAUAAUUCCAUAGACUGUGGCAAUACAUCCUUCCUGGGCAUAGUAGAUCUAGUGCCACAAAUAGGUCACACUUUGUAAAUAGUCUGAGUAUCAAAUCAUGAGUGGGUAUAACUAUCAAUAAACAAAACUAGAGUCCAAUAGAAGUAGAUUGUGUGAAGAAUUGUAACAUAGUGUCAUAAUAUGUCAUAACACCUAAUUUUUAAAAAUAGUUCAAGUUUAAAUGUCAUGUUAUUUUAUAUAAUCAAAUUUUAGAUUUUUCUGUGUGUACAAAGAUGUUGGUAUUCACAAGAUAUUGAAGAUCCCAUGCUAUGUGGAACAUAAAAGAAGAUCAAAUCUCCUAAAAUUAGCCACGGAGUUGCUUACAGAAAUUGGAUAACUAGAAAAAUCUAACUCUGAUCAGUUUUUAAAAAUUGCUUUUUGAAGUACUUAAUUCUCUCUCUGAAAAUAAUUUAAGAUUUAGUAUCAAUGGAACAUUUCUUCGUAUUUAUAAACAAGAUCUCAUAAAUCUUUGCUGCUUUUGUUGUAUGGACCAGAAUAAGAG
Molecule: long non-coding RNA, 995 nt
Filed under: Marmota monax (woodchuck)
Lineage: Eukaryota; Metazoa; Chordata; Mammalia; Rodentia; Sciuridae
Source: RNAcentral